This 300-nucleotide ribosomal RNA is filed under the name uncultured Colwelliaceae bacterium. Its description in RNAcentral is "bacterial SSU rRNA". It matches the Rfam family "Bacterial small subunit ribosomal RNA", at positions 114 to 406 of the family's 1533-position model. The record is from RNAcentral. Lineage: Bacteria; Pseudomonadati; Pseudomonadota; Gammaproteobacteria; Alteromonadales; Colwelliaceae.
GGCUUGGGAAUAUGCCUUGAGGUGGGGGACAACAGUUGGAAACGACUGCUAAUACCGCAUAAUGUCGUACGGACCAAAGGUAGGGGAUCUUCGGACCUUUCGCCUUUAGAUUAGCCCAAGUGUAGAUUAGCUAGAUAGGUGGGGUAAUGGCCUACCAUGGCGACGAUCUCUAGCUGGGUUUGAGAGGAUCGGAUUCAGGCCACACUGGGACUGAGACACGGCCCAGACUCCUACGGGAGGCCAGCAGUGGGGAAUAUUGCACAAUGGGCGAAAGCCUGAUGGCAGCCAUGCCGCGUGUGU